AUUGAACGCUGGCGGCAGGCCUAACACAUGCAAGUCGAGCGGCAGCGGGAAAGUAGCUUGCUACUUUUGCCGGCGAGCGGCGGACGGGUGAGUAAUGCCUGGGGAUCUGCCCAGUCGAGGGGGAUAACAGUUGGAAACGACUGCUAAUACCGCAUACGCCCUACGGGGGAAAGGAGGGGACCUUCGGGCCUUUCGCGAUUGGAUGAACCCGGGUGGGAUUAGCUAGUUGGUGGGGUAAUGGCUCAGCAAGGCGACGAUCCCUAGCUGGUCUGAGAGGAUGAUCAGCCACACUGGAACUGAGACACGGUCCAGACUCCUACGGGAGGCAGCAGUGGGGAAUAUUGCACAAUGGGGGAAACCCUGAUGCAGCCAUGCCGCGUGUGUGAAGAAGGCCUUCGGGUUGUAAAGCACUUUCAGCGAGGAGGAAAGGUUGGCGCCUAAUACGUGUCAACUGUGACGUUACUCGCAGAAGAAGCACCGGCUAACUCCGUGCCAGCAGCCGCGGUAA
Molecule: ribosomal RNA, 508 nt
Filed under: uncultured bacterium
Lineage: Bacteria
Description: partial 16S ribosomal RNA
Rfam family: Bacterial small subunit ribosomal RNA
Source: RNAcentral